Molecule: ribosomal RNA, 507 nt
Filed under: uncultured bacterium
Lineage: Bacteria
Description: bacterial SSU rRNA
Rfam family: Bacterial small subunit ribosomal RNA
Source: RNAcentral
ACAGGGGGAUACAGCUGGAAACGGCUGCUAAUACCGCAUAAGCGCACGAGGAGACAUCUCCUUGUGUGAAAAACUCCGGUGGUACAGGAUGGGCCCGCGUCUGAUUAGCUGGUUGGCAGGGUAACGGCCUACCAAGGCAACGAUCAGUAGCCGGUCUGAGAGGAUGAACGGCCACAUUGGAACUGAGACACGGUCCAAACUCUACGGGAGGCAGCAGUGGGGAAUAUUGCACAAUGGGGGAAACCCUGAUGCAGCAACGCCGCGUGAGUGAAGAAGUAUUUCGGUAUGUAAAGCUCUAUCAGCAGGGAAGAUAAUGACGGUACCUGACUAAGAAGCUCCGGCUAAAUACGUGCCAGCAGCCGCGGUAAUACGUAUGGAGCAAGCGUUAUCCGGAUUUACUGGGUGUAAAGGGUGCGUAGGUGGCAGUGGAAGUCAGAUGUGAAAGGCCGGGGCUCAAACCCCGGAGCUGCAUUUGAAACUGCAUAGCUAGAGUACAGGAGAGGCAGG